AGACAGCAGCAGCCGCGGUAAUACAGAGGGUGCGAGCGUUAAUCGGAUUUACUGGGCGUAAAGCGUGCGUAGGCGGCUUUUUAAGUCGGAUGUGAAAUCCCUGAGCUUAACUUAGGAAUUGCAUUCGAUACUGGGAAGCUAGAGUAUGGGAGAGGAUGGUAGAAUUCCAGGUGUAGCGGUGAAAUGCGUAGAGAUCUGGAGGAAUACCGAUGGCGAAGGCAGCCAUCUGGCCUAAUACUGACGCUGAGGUACGAAAGCAUGGGGAGCAAACAGGAUUAGAUACCCCGUAGUCCCUGUCUCUUAUACA
RNAcentral lists this ribosomal RNA (307 nucleotides) under uncultured bacterium. RNAcentral describes it as "partial 16S ribosomal RNA". It matches the Rfam family "Bacterial small subunit ribosomal RNA", at positions 506 to 808 of the family's 1533-position model. The record is from RNAcentral.